Molecule: non-coding RNA, 191 nt
Filed under: Clostridia bacterium
Lineage: Bacteria; Bacillati; Bacillota; Clostridia
Description: 6S RNA
Rfam family: 6S / SsrS RNA
About the family: E. coli 6S RNA was the first non coding RNA to be sequenced, but its function was unknown until recently. It consists of 184 nucleotides that fold into an extended hairpin structure with a large single-stranded internal bulge. The 6S RNA specifically associates with RNA polymerase holoenzyme containing the sigma70 specificity factor.
Source: RNAcentral
UAAACCCUGCUUGGCCCGUGAUUAAACGGCUUAUUAUAACCCUACAAGCUUAUGAUAUAGGGAGCCUUUCUCCCGCAGUGGAUUGCAGACCUCCCGUGAAAACGGAAGAAGGGAGCGUGAAUCUGUGGGGAAGGCACCCACCUGCAACACGCAGGUUAUCAUGCGCCGCCACACGACCCGGCGGGGAUUUU